RNAcentral lists this ribosomal RNA (973 nucleotides) under Stemphylium vesicarium. RNAcentral's name for it is "SSU rRNA". It matches the Rfam family "Eukaryotic small subunit ribosomal RNA", at positions 73 to 1055 of the family's 1831-position model. The record is from RNAcentral. Lineage: Eukaryota; Fungi; Ascomycota; Dothideomycetes; Pleosporales; Pleosporaceae.
AUUAUACCGUGAAACUGCGAAUGACUCAUUAAAUCAGUUAUCGUUUAUUUGAUAAUACCUUACUACUUGGAUAACCGUGGUAAUUCUAGAGCUAAUACAUGCUGACAAUCCCGACUUCGGAAUUGAUGUGUUUAUUAGAUAAAAAACCAAUGCCCUUCGGGGCUCUUUGGUGAUUCAUGAUAACUUUACGGAUCGCAUAGCCUUGCGCUGGCGACGGUUCAUUCAAAUUUCUGCCCUAUCAACUUUCGAUGGUAAGGUAUUGGCUUACCAUGGUUUCAACGGGUAACGGGGAAUUAGGGUUCGAUUCCGGAGAGGGAGCCUGAGAAACGGCUACCACAUCCAAGGAAGGCAGCAGGCGCGCAAAUUACCCAAUCCCGACACGGGGAGGUAGUGACAAUAAAUACUGAUACAGGGCUCUUUUGGGUCUUGUAAUUGGAAUGAGUACAAUUUAAACCUCUUAACGUGGAACAAUUGGAGGGCAAGUCUGGUGCCAGCAGCCGCGGUAAUUCCAGCUCCAAUAGCGUAUAUUAAAGUUGUUGGAGUUAAAAAGCUCGUAGUUGAAACUUGGGCCUGGCUGGCGGGUCCGCCUCACCGCGUGCACUCGUCCGGCCGGGCCUUCCUUCUGAAGAACCUCAUGCCCUUCACUGGGCGUGUUGGGGAAUCAGGACUUUUACUUUGAUUAAAUUAGAGUGUUCAAAGCAGGCCUUUGCUCGAAUACGUUAGCAUGGAAUAAUAAAAUAGGGCGUGCGUUUCUAUUUUGUUGGUUUCUAGAGCCGCCGCAAUGAUUAACAGGAACAGUCGGGGGCAUCAGUAUUCAGUUGUCAGAGGUGAAAUUCUUGGAUUUGCUGAAGACUAACUACUGCGAAAGCAUUUGCCAAGGAUGUUUUCAUUAAUCAGUGAACGAAAGUUAGGGGAUCGAAGACGAUCAGAUACCGUCGUAGUCUUAACCGUAAACUAUGCCGACUAGGGAUCG